CUACGGGAGGCAGCAGKGGGGAAUAUUGCACAAUGGGGGAAACCCUGAUGCAGCGACGCCGCGUGAGCGAAGAAGGUUUUCGGAUCGUAAAGCUCUGUCCUCGGAGAAGAUAAUGACGGUAUCCGAGGAGGAAGCCCCGGCUAACUACGUGCCAGCAGCCGCGGUAAUACGUAGGGGGCGAGCGUUGUCCGGAAUUACUGGGCGUAAAGAGUACGUAGGUGGUUUGAUAAGUCAGGUGUAAAAGGCAAUGGCUCAACCAUUGUAAGCAUUUGAAACUGUCAAACUUGAGUACAGGAGAGGUAAGUGGAAUUCCUAGUGUAGCGGUGAAAUGCGUAGAUAUUAGGAGGAACACCAGUGGCGAAGGCGACUUACUGGACUGUAACUGACACUGAGGUACGAAAGCGUGG
Molecule: ribosomal RNA, 407 nt
Filed under: uncultured Bacillota bacterium
Lineage: Bacteria; Bacillati; Bacillota
Description: bacterial SSU rRNA
Rfam family: Bacterial small subunit ribosomal RNA
Source: RNAcentral